GAGGGUGUAGCUCAGGGGUAGAGCGCGUGUUUAGCAUGCACGAGGUCCUGGGUUCCGUCCCCAGCACCUCCA
RNAcentral lists this transfer RNA (72 nucleotides) under Camelus dromedarius (Arabian camel). It matches the Rfam family "tRNA". From Rfam's summary of the family: Transfer RNA (tRNA) molecules are approximately 80 nucleotides in length. Their secondary structure includes four short double-helical elements and three loops (D, anti-codon, and T loops). Further hydrogen bonds mediate the characteristic L-shaped molecular structure. tRNAs have two regions of fundamental functional importance: the anti-codon, which is responsible for specific mRNA codon recognition, and the 3' end, to which the tRNAs corresponding amino acid is attached (by aminoacyl-tRNA synthetases). tRNAs cope with the degeneracy of the genetic code in two manners: having more than one tRNA (with a specific anti-codon) for a particular amino acid; and 'wobble' base-pairing, i.e. permitting non-standard base-pairing at the 3rd anti-codon position. The record is from Rfam by way of RNAcentral. RNAcentral also lists the same sequence under 1 other name. Lineage: Eukaryota; Metazoa; Chordata; Mammalia; Artiodactyla; Camelidae.